RNAcentral lists this ribosomal RNA (1429 nucleotides) under Anaerobutyricum hallii. RNAcentral's name for it is "[Eubacterium] hallii partial 23S ribosomal RNA". It matches the Rfam family "Bacterial large subunit ribosomal RNA", at positions 1325 to 2774 of the family's 2925-position model. The record is from RNAcentral. Lineage: Bacteria; Bacillati; Bacillota; Clostridia; Lachnospirales; Lachnospiraceae.
GAAUCCUUGCGGCCGAAUAUCCAAGGUUUCCAGAGUAAAGCUGAUCUGCUCUGGGUAAGUCGGGGCCUAAGGAGAGGCAGAGAUGCGUAUCCGAUGGACAGCAGGUUUAAGAUUCCUGCACCCCUUGUUAUCAGAACUGCGGGGACACGGGAAGGGAAGCAGAGCCGGGAAUGGAAAGCCCGGUGCAAGCGAAGUAGUCGCAGGGUUGGAAAAUCCGCCCUGCAUGAGACGAAGGCGUGAUGCGGAGCGAAAUGAAGUAGUGAAGCUGCGGCCCCUUCCUGUCGAGAAAAGCCGCUAUCGUGUAGCAAGGGCCCGUACCGUAAACCGACACAGGUGGAUGAGGAGAGGAUCCUAAGGCCGGCGGGAGAAGUGUUGUUAAGGAACUCGGCAAAAUGACUCCGUAACUUCGGGAGAAGGAGUGCUGCGCAAGCAGCCGCAGAGAAAUGGCCCAAGCAACUGUUUAGCAAAAACACAGGUCUAUGCGAAACCGGAAGGUGAGGUAUAUGCUGACGCCUGCCCGGUGCUGGAAGGUUAAGGGGAGAGCUUAGCGCGAGCGAAGGUUUGAACUUAAGCCCCAGUAAACGGCGGCCGUAACUAUAACGGUCCUAAGGUAGCGAAAUUCCUUGUCGGGUAAGUUCCGACCCGCACGAAAGGCGUAAUGAUUUGGGCACUGUCUCAACAACACACCCGGUGAAAUUGAAAUACCAGUGAAGAUGCUGGUUACCCGCGCCAGGACGGAAAGACCCCAUGGAGCUUUACUCCAGCCUGAUACUGGGAUUCGGUAUUGCAUGUACAGGAUAGGUGGGAGGCUAAGAACUCAUGGCGCCAGCCGUGAGGGAGCCGAUGUUGGGAUACCACCCCUGCAGUACUGGGUUUCUAACCUGCGCCCGUGACCCGGGCGGGGGACAAUGUCAGGCGGGGAGUUUGACUGGGGCGGUCGCCUCCGAAAGGGUAUCGGAGGCGCUCAAAGGUCUCCUCAGGAUGGUUGGAAACCAUCCAGAGAGUGCAAAGGCAGAAGGAGGCUUGACUGCGACACCGACGGGUGGAGCAGGUACGAAAGUAGGACUUAGUGAUCCGGUGGCAUAAAGUGGGAUUGCCAUCGCUCAACGGAUAAAAGCUACCCUGGGGAUAACAGGCUUAUCACUCCCAAGAGUUCACAUCGACGGAGUGGUUUGGCACCUCGAUGUCGGCUCAUCGCAUCCUGGAGCUGGAGCAGGUUCCAAGGGUUGGGCUGUUCGCCCAUUAAAGCGGUACGCGAGCUGGGUUCAGAACGUCGUGAGACAGUUCGGUCCCUAUCCGGCGCGGGCGCAGGAUAUCUGAGAGGAGCUGUCCUUAGUACGAGAGGACCGGGAUGGACCGUCCGCUGGUGGACCGGUUGUCAUGCCAAUGGCACGGCCGGGUAGCCAAGACGGGAAGGGAUAAACGCUGA